Molecule: transfer RNA, 34 nt
Filed under: Anolis naufragus (Hidalgo Anole)
Lineage: Eukaryota; Metazoa; Chordata; Lepidosauria; Squamata; Anolidae
Description: partial tRNA-Asn
Source: RNAcentral
CUGAAUAGGCGGGCCUUGAUCCCACAAAAAUUAG